RNAcentral lists this ribosomal RNA (554 nucleotides) under Scinax cf. nasicus RB-2011. RNAcentral describes it as "partial 16S ribosomal RNA". It matches the Rfam family "Bacterial large subunit ribosomal RNA", at positions 1853 to 2605 of the family's 2925-position model. The record is from RNAcentral. Lineage: Eukaryota; Metazoa; Chordata; Amphibia; Anura; Hylidae.
GUCAGCCUGCCAGUGACAAAUGUUCAACGGCCGCGGUAUCCUAACCGUGCGAAGGUAGCGUAAUCACUUGUUCUUUAAAUGUGGACUAGUAUGAACGGCACCACGAGGGUUAUACUGUCUCCUUUCUCCAAUCAGUGAAACUAAUCUCCCCGUGAAGAAGCGGGGAUAAAAAUAUAAGACGAGAAGACCCUAUGGAGCUUAAAAGUUUACUUCAAACGCUAACCCCUACAAAGUCAUAGACUACCACAAGAAGCCACGCGCCAUGAAAACAACUUUUAGGUUGGGGUGACCAUGGAGCACAAAACAACCUCCACGCUGAACAGGCCUCCAAGCCUCGAGCCAAGGGCCACAACCCGCCGCACUAAAAAAUUAACAUCCAUUGAUCCAAUGAAUUUUGAUCAACGAACCAAGUUACCCUAGGGAUAACAGCGCAAUCUACUUCAAGAGUUCCUAUCGACAAGUGGGUUUACGACCUCGAUGUUGGAUCAGGGUGUCCCAGUGGUGCAGCCGCUACUAAUGGUUCGUUUGUUCAACGAUUAAAACCCUACGUGAUC